GACAGAGGCCUCAAGCGUUAGGCGGAAUCACUGGGCUUAAAGCGUGCGCAGGCGGUUGUGUAAGACAGAUGUGAAAUCCCCGGGCUCAACCUGGGAACUGCAUUUGUGACUGCACAGCUGGAGUGCGGCAGAGGGGGAUGGAAUUCCGCGUGUAGCAGUGAAAUGCGUAGAUAUGCGGAGGAACACCGGUGGCGAAGGCGGCAUCCUGGACCGACACUGACACUGAGGAGCGAAAGCCAGGGGAGCAAACGGG
Molecule: ribosomal RNA, 253 nt
Filed under: uncultured bacterium
Lineage: Bacteria
Description: partial 16S ribosomal RNA
Rfam family: Bacterial small subunit ribosomal RNA
Source: RNAcentral